This 942-nucleotide ribosomal RNA is filed under the name Mucor irregularis. Its description in RNAcentral is "eukaryotic LSU rRNA". It matches the Rfam family "Eukaryotic large subunit ribosomal RNA", at positions 81 to 931 of the family's 3401-position model. The record is from RNAcentral. Lineage: Eukaryota; Fungi; Mucoromycota; Mucoromycetes; Mucorales; Mucoraceae.
UAGUAACGGCGAGUGAAGAGGAAAGAGCUCAAAGUUGGAACCUGUUUGGCUUAGCUAAACCGGAUUGUAAACUGUAGAAGUGUUUUCCAGACACGCCUGGUAAAAAAGUCCUUUGGAACAGGGCAUCAUAGAGGGUGAGAAUCCCGUCAUUGGCCAGAGCUGUUGUCUUUUGUGAUACAUUUUCAAAGAGUCAGGUUGUUUGGGAAUGCAGCCUAAAUUGGGUGGUAAAUCUCACCUAAAGCUAAAUAUUUGCGAGAGACCGAUAGCGAACAAGUACCGUGAGGGAAAGAUGAAAAGAACUUUGAAAAGAGAGUUAAACAGUAUGUGAAAUUGUUAAAAGGGAACCGUUUGGAGCCAGACUGGCUUGAUCGUAAUCACUCUAGGCUUUGGCCUGGAUGCACUUGCGGUCUAUGCCGGCCAACGACAGUUUUGUUUGAGGGAAAAAAUUACAUUGAAUGUGGCCCCUCGGGGUGUUAUAGCUUUGUAAAAAAUACCUUGGACGGGACUGAGGAACGCAGCGAAUGCCUUUAGGCGAGAUUGCUGGGUGCUUGCGCUGAUACAUGCUAGAAUUUCUGCUUUGGGUGGUGCUAGUGUGUAAAGGAGUAACCCGCUUAGUAUAUUUUUUAUUCGCUUAGGUUGUUGGCUUAAUGACUCUAAAUGACCCGUCUUGAAACACGGACCAAGGAGUCCACCAUUAGUGCAAGUAUUUGGGUGACAAACCCAUAUGCGCAAGGAAACUGAUUGAUACGAAGGCGCAAGCUGGCAGUAUCACCCGGCGUUGACGUUUUAUACUGAACUGACCGAGGUAAAGCACUAAUGAUGGGACCCGAAAGAUGGUGAACUAUGCCUGAAUAGGGUGAAGCCGGAGGAAACUCCGGUGGAGGCUCGUAGCGAUUCUGACGUGCAAAUCGAUCGUCAAAUUUGGGUAUAGGGGCGAAAGAC